CCUACGGGGGGCUGCAGUUAAGAAUCUUGCGCAAUGGGGGAAACCCUGACGCAGCGACGCCGCGUGGACGAUGAAGGCCUUCGGGUUGUAAAGUCCGAUAAGCGGGGAAGAAUAAGCAACGGGUAAUAUUCGUUGUGAUGACGGUACCUGCCUCAAGCCCCGGCUAACUACGUGCCAGCAGCCGCGGUAAUACGUAUGGGGGUAGCGUUUUUCGGAAUUAUUGGGCGAGACGGGGAUCUAGGCGGGGUGGGAAAUCCCUGGGCUCAACCCCGGAACUGCAUCGAAAACUGGUUCUCGUGAGUUCGGGAGAGGAGAGCGGAAUUCCCGGUGUAGAGGUGAAAUGCGUAGAUAUCGGGAAGAACACCAGUGGCGAAGGCGGCUCUCUGGCCUAGAACUGACGCUGAAGCGCGAAAGCGUGGGGAGCGAACGGGAUUAGAUACCCGUGUAGUC
This 450-nucleotide ribosomal RNA is filed under the name uncultured bacterium. RNAcentral describes it as "partial 16S ribosomal RNA". It matches the Rfam family "Bacterial small subunit ribosomal RNA", at positions 338 to 795 of the family's 1533-position model. The record is from RNAcentral.